RNAcentral lists this ribosomal RNA (486 nucleotides) under Fusarium solani. RNAcentral's name for it is "eukaryotic LSU rRNA". The stretch from base 113 to 266 matches the Rfam family "5.8S ribosomal RNA". Lineage: Eukaryota; Fungi; Ascomycota; Sordariomycetes; Hypocreales; Nectriaceae. The record is from RNAcentral.
AAACGUUGCUUCGGCGGGAACAGACGGCCCUGUAACAACGGGCCGCCCCCGCCAGAGGACCCCUAACUCUGUUUUUAUAAUGUUUUUCUGAGUAAACAAGCAAAUAAAUUAAAACUUUCAACAACGGAUCUCUUGGCUCUGGCAUCGAUGAAGAACGCAGCGAAAUGCGAUAAGUAAUGUGAAUUGCAGAAUUCAGUGAAUCAUCGAAUCUUUGAACGCACAUUGCGCCCGCCAGUAUUCUGGCGGGCAUGCCUGUUCGAGCGUCAUUACAACCCUCAGGCCCCCGGGCCUGGCGUUGGGGAUCGGCGGAAGCCCCCUGUGGGCACACGCCGUCCCUCAAAUACAGUGGCGGUCCCGCCGCAGCUUCCAUUGCGUAGUAGCUAACACCUCGCAACUGGAGAGCGGCGCGGCCAUGCCGUAAAACACCCAACUUCUGAAUGUUGACCUCGAAUCAGGUAGGAAUACCCGCUGAACUUAAGCAUAUCA